Molecule: long non-coding RNA, 477 nt
Filed under: Manihot esculenta (cassava)
Lineage: Eukaryota; Viridiplantae; Streptophyta; Magnoliopsida; Malpighiales; Euphorbiaceae
Description: long non-coding RNA (MESC_LNC010291)
Source: RNAcentral
GACGAUUGUGUGGAGGCCGCGAAGAGGCUCUUCUUGCAUGCAACACAUCAGAAAGCGAAAAAAAUGUCAACAACACAAAGAAGCAAGUACUGGGAGAGAGGAUUUGGGUUAGAAGCUAGAGAAAUUGAAAAAACCUUGGGAGAAAACUACAAAUCCACCAGUGACAGAGAGACUAGAGAGCGACAGUGAGGUGAGGAGGAGUCGGCGUUGCUAACUAAGUCGCGCAUCCGCAACUUAGUGAAGAUCGAUGACCCGAGUUAGCCGCGAUGGUUAAUCGGUCGAUGUCGGGAGGAGAGUGGAGGUUGGUUGGACGGUGGACAGUGGACCCGCUGGAAGUGGUGGAGCUCAGUGCUCAGAGAAGAGGCAGAGGCAUGUGUGACGUGAGGCGGCGUGGAAUGGAGAUUAGCGUCUCUACUCAGUGGCACCACUUUUAGAUUUAGGGCAAAUAAGGGUACAUUUCAAAACGACGUAGUAUAG